UACGUAGGGUGCGAGCGUUAAUCGGAAUUACUGGGCGUAAAGCGUGCGCAGGCGGUUUGCUAAGACCGAUGUGAAAUCCCCGGGCUCAACCUGGGAACUGCAUUGGUGACUGGCAGGCUAGAGUAUGGCAGAGGGGGGUAGAAUUCCACGUGUAGCAGUGAAAUGCGUAGAGAUGUGGAGGAAUACCGAUGGCGAAGGCAGCCCCCCUGGGCCAAUACUGACGCUCAUGCACGAAAGCGUGGGGGGAGCAAACAGGAUUAGAUACCCUGGUAGUCCACACCCUAAACGACGUCAACUGGUUGUUGGGGAUUCAUUUCCUUAGUAACGUAGCUAACGCGUGAAGUUGACCGCCUGGGGAGUACGGUCGCAAGAUUAAAACUC
This 381-nucleotide ribosomal RNA is filed under the name uncultured bacterium. RNAcentral describes it as "bacterial SSU rRNA". It matches the Rfam family "Bacterial small subunit ribosomal RNA", at positions 524 to 902 of the family's 1533-position model. The record is from RNAcentral.